This is a long non-coding RNA of Vespa mandarinia (Asian giant hornet), 1766 nucleotides long. The record is from RefSeq and is a predicted model, not a curated record. NCBI's taxonomy places the organism in Eukaryota, Metazoa, Arthropoda, Insecta, Hymenoptera, Vespidae.
UUUUUAUAUUCGUUACAAAAUGUAAACUUUACUAUGACAAUGAUCUAAAAAAUAGUGCUAACGGAAUUUACGUAUCACCAUUUUAUUAUCAUCUAAAUCGACUAUAUCCCAGAUAAUGUGUAUUCAUUCAACCGGAUCCGUCGUACGCAAUAUCAUCAAUUUCAUUUAUAUUAUUAAUUACUCACAUCGCCGAAAGUGAUAAUAGAGAUUUGCAUGAAUUUUCCGGCAGUUAAUCGUACCACAGAAUUGGAUCUAAGUAUUAUUAAUAUAAAUCCGCGUGCUGUGCAAUCAGGAAGAAGUUGCCAAUCGCACGCGUAAGCGACGUCACCUACUUGCAUGCACUAUUAAGAAAUCUAAUUUGAUAUCGAGUCGUCUUUACUAUAUAAAUAAUUUCGAUGAAGUAUUAGACGCUACCUGAUGUGAGAGUUUCUCGCUAAGAAAACAAAAUACGAAAAUAUUGAACAUCAUGGAGAUAAAUACAAGAAAGUAUCCUAUGGUAAUUUUUAUAUCGUUGUUCUCCCACUCCUGAAAAAUACGAAACUUUUUAAAUGUAAAACGGACGAAUAUAAUCUGAACGAAAGCAUGUGCUCCUUUCAAGAUAUCGUAGAGAAACGACAAAUAUAUAUGUAGGUGCUAAAUGUCUAUUAGACAGAUACGGAAAUGUUACUACUUUUUUAGACUAUCGCCUUACAAUGAUCUAAAUGAUAAUAAAGAUGAGUUGUCUGUAUUGCGAUUACGCAUACAAUAGUAAAAAUUAUACAUUAAUCGUGUAUUAUAUCGAAUCUUGGCAUACCGUGAUACAAAAAUAUCCCAGCAAACACAUAUUUAAUGUGCAACCCAAAAGUUCGACGAGACAUAUGCGAUUAAUCACGUUCUCUAUAUAUUGUAUAAAACUGUAAUCAAUGGAUUUCUUCGUAUCUCGUAGAGUUUUGUAAAAGCUAUCUUUAGCUCUCUUUCGUACCUCAAAGCGCGCACGUGGAGUCCGACAAUGUCUGAAAGUUGAUAAUUCGUAGAUUCAAUCGAAGAAAUUGAGAAGGAAUCUUUCAUCCAUGCCAUCGUCAUCGUCAGUUGACCACAGGCGUGCAUAAUAAAGACCGCAGCGAGACUGCAAGCGCAUACGAAGAUGGAGCUGGUGAUAACACCGGAGAGCAGUUGGAGUGCAUAUACGAUAUCGUAAGCCGGAUUAUAUCUCGUGUCCGCUACUUUGCUAUAGCAAGGACAAGGUAACGGAUGCAAGUAGACCGUAUGAUUUUCUAUGGAAACAGGAACAAGUGUCAUUCCUUUGACCAGAUUAUAAAUCAAAACGCCGCCAAUAGUAAAACCCGUACAAACGAGGAUAAAAUAACGAGCACUAUUGGCAUGAGCCAACAUGAUGUCACGAUCUUUCGAUCUUCUAACCAUACGCCAAUCUCUUUCGAUGUGAUCAAAACACCGACGCACGUUUCCUCGAUGAAACAAGAUGUAACUGUACUUGAUGGCACCCAUGAGCCAAUAACUCACUUGACCGAGCGCCUCCAUCCUCGCUUGCAAGUUUCUUUCCUCGAGGAAAGCGUACAAAGUACACGAUGAUUGCCAAGCACCCAUCGACGUCAAUAACCAACGUAUCAACCGAAUACUAUAUUCGUUGUCGUUAACAAAGAUUAAUACGAAGAAGAGUACAACAAUAGUUCGGCACGCUGAUCGAUACCAGCGAUUUCGUGACUGACACACGUGUGUCUUUGAAUUUAUUGAGUGAGAGGCGAGAUAGAAUUUGAAAGUUUUACCUA